This 645-nucleotide ribosomal RNA is filed under the name uncultured Campylobacterota bacterium. Its description in RNAcentral is "bacterial SSU rRNA". It matches the Rfam family "Bacterial small subunit ribosomal RNA", at positions 801 to 1454 of the family's 1533-position model. Lineage: Bacteria; Pseudomonadati; Campylobacterota. The record is from RNAcentral.
CUAAACGAUGAAUGUUAGUCGUCGGGUAGCUAGUCUAUUCGGUGAUGCAGCUAACGCAUUAAACAUUCCGCCUGGGGAGUACGGUCGCAAGAUUAAAACUCAAAGGAAUAGACGGGGACCCGCACAAGUGGUGGAGCAUGUGGUUUAAUUCGAAGAUACGCGAAGAACCUUACCUAGCCUUGACAUAUUUAAGAACACUUUAGAGAUAGAGUGGUGCCUUCGGGAGCUUUUAUACAGGUGCUGCACGGCUGUCGUCAGCUCGUGUCGUGAGAUGUUGGGUUAAGUCCCGCAACGAGCGCAACCCUCGUCACUAGUUACUAACGGUUCGGCCGAGGACUCUAGUGAGACUGCCUUCGCAAGGAGGAGGAAGGUGAGGACGACGUCAAGUCAUCAUGGCCCUUACGGCUAGGGCAACACACGUGCUACAAUGGCCAGGACAAUGAGAGGCAAUACCGCGAGGUGGAGCAAAUCUAUAAACCUGGUCUCAGUUCGGAUAGCAGUCUGCGACUCGACUGCUUGAAGCUGGAAUCACUAGUAAUCGUAGAUCAGCUAUGCUACGGUGAAUACGUUCCCGGGUCUUGUACUCACCGCCCGUCACACCAUGGGAGUUGAUUCACCCGAAGCGGGGAAGCUAAACUGGCUACC